RNAcentral lists this ribosomal RNA (414 nucleotides) under Triticum aestivum (bread wheat). Its description in RNAcentral is "partial small subunit ribosomal RNA". The record is from RNAcentral. Lineage: Eukaryota; Viridiplantae; Streptophyta; Magnoliopsida; Poales; Poaceae.
AUGACUGAAAAAUUAGCUGGUUAUGCUUAUGACGAGUACAUUACGGAGAUGGAAAUGGAUGCGUCCCUCAAGGACAUAGAUCUCCUCUAUUUUGAGAUCUGGAGGCUUGUCGCUAAAGAAAAUAGAACUUACAAAGAGGCUGUGAAGGAAGUUUAUGAGUCUGGCGAGUUCCCUGUACACAAAGCAGUACUACAUUCUGAACUCAAUGGGGGCCAUAUCUUUGUAACGAUGCAAGAAAUGAUUUACUCUGUUGUCCUGGAGGGUGGCAUUGAUCUGACUGACGAAGAGGAGAAAGCUCAGGGUGUGUUUAGGAAGUUAUCUUUCAGUUUGCAUAAACCAAUGAACAUGGCUCAGUAUGCUCAGAAGAAGGUGGAGAUAGCAAAUCAGUUGAAGUUGAACAAAGAGGUAUGCUAA